GCGGGUGUGGCGGAAUUGGUAGACGCGCCAGAUUUAGGUUCUGGUGUCGAAAGACGUGGAAGUUCGAGUCUUCUCACCCGCACCA
Molecule: transfer RNA, 85 nt
Filed under: Hellea balneolensis
Lineage: Bacteria; Pseudomonadati; Pseudomonadota; Alphaproteobacteria; Maricaulales; Robiginitomaculaceae
Description: tRNA-Leu
Rfam family: tRNA
About the family: Transfer RNA (tRNA) molecules are approximately 80 nucleotides in length. Their secondary structure includes four short double-helical elements and three loops (D, anti-codon, and T loops).
Source: RNAcentral